This 60-nucleotide transfer RNA is filed under the name Branchinella kugenumaensis. RNAcentral describes it as "tRNA-Cys". It matches the Rfam family "tRNA". From Rfam's summary of the family: Transfer RNA (tRNA) molecules are approximately 80 nucleotides in length. Their secondary structure includes four short double-helical elements and three loops (D, anti-codon, and T loops). The record is from RNAcentral. Lineage: Eukaryota; Metazoa; Arthropoda; Branchiopoda; Anostraca; Thamnocephalidae.
GAUCAUGUAGUUUAAUAAAAACAUUAGAUUGCAAAUCUAAUAAUGGGAUUCCCAUGAUCU